RNAcentral lists this unclassified non-coding RNA (204 nucleotides) under uncultured Basidiomycota. Its description in RNAcentral is "sequence contains ITS2". Lineage: Eukaryota; Fungi; Basidiomycota. The record is from RNAcentral. RNAcentral also lists the same sequence under 1 other name.
UAUUCUCAACCUUCAUAACUUUUUUGUUAUCGAAGGCUUGGACUUGGAGGCUUGUGCUGGCUUACUUGCUUAAGUCGGCUCCUCUUAAAUGUAUUAGCGUGAGUGUAACGGAUCGCUUCGGUGUGAUAAUUAUCUGCGCCGUGGUCGUGAAGUAACAUAAGCUUGCGCUUCUAACCGUCCUUCAGUUGGACAAUACACUUUGAC